This 730-nucleotide ribosomal RNA is filed under the name fungal sp. RNAcentral's name for it is "eukaryotic LSU rRNA". The stretch from base 514 to 730 matches the Rfam family "Eukaryotic large subunit ribosomal RNA", at positions 1 to 217 of the family's 3401-position model. Lineage: Eukaryota; Fungi. The record is from RNAcentral.
GUGACCUGCGGAAGGAUCAUUACUGAGUGAGGGCCCUCUGGGUCCAACCUCCCACCCGUGUUUAUUGUACCUUGUUGCUUCGGUGCGCCCGCCUCACGGCCGCCGGGGGGCUUCUGCCCCCGGGUCCGCGCGCACCGGAGACACUAUUGAACUCUGUCUGAAGAUUGCAGUCUGAGCAUAAACUAAAUAAGUUAAAACUUUCAACAACGGAUCUCUUGGUUCCGGCAUCGAUGAAGAACGCAGCGAAAUGCGAUAACUAAUGUGAAUUGCAGAAUUCAGUGAAUCAUCGAGUCUUUGAACGCACAUUGCGCCCCCUGGUAUUCCGGGGGGCAUGCCUGUCCGAGCGUCAUUGCUGCCCUCAAGCACGGCUUGUGUGUUGGGCUCCGUCCCCCCGGGGACGGGUCCGAAAGGCAGCGGCGGCACCGAGUCCGGUCCUCGAGCGUAUGGGGCUUUGUCACCCGCUCUGUAGGCCCGGCCGGCGCCAGCCGACAACCAAUCAUCCUUUUUUCAGGUUGACCUCGGAUCAGGUAGGGAUACCCGCUGAACUUAAGCAUAUCAAUAAGCGGAGGAAAAGAAACCAACAGGGAUUACCUCAGUAACGGCGAGUGAAGCGGUAAGAGCUCAAAUUUGAAAGCUGGCUCCUUCGGGGUCCGCAUUGUAAUUUGCAGAGGAUGUUUCGGGAGCAGCCCCCAUCUAAGUGUCCUGGAACGGACCGUCAUAGAGGGUGAGA